This 253-nucleotide ribosomal RNA is filed under the name uncultured bacterium. RNAcentral describes it as "partial 16S ribosomal RNA". It matches the Rfam family "Bacterial small subunit ribosomal RNA", at positions 524 to 776 of the family's 1533-position model. The record is from RNAcentral.
UACGGAGGGUGCGAGCGUUGUUCGGAAUUACUGGGCGUAAAGGGCGCGUAGGCGGCCAACUAAGUCGGACGUGAAAUCCCCUGGCUCAACCAGGGAACUGCGUCCGAUACUGAUUGGCUUGAAUCCGGGAGAGGGAUGUGGAAUUCCAGGUGUAGCGGUGAAAUGCGUAGAUAUCUGGAGGAACACCGGUGGCGAAGGCGGCAUCCUGGACCGGUAUUGACGCUGAGGCGCGAAAGCCAGGGGAGCAAACGGG